This is a long non-coding RNA of Trachemys scripta elegans, 450 nucleotides long. RefSeq lists it as uncharacterized. The transcript has 3 exons. The record is from RefSeq and is a predicted model, not a curated record. NCBI's taxonomy places the organism in Eukaryota, Metazoa, Chordata, Testudines, Emydidae.
AGGUUUUCCAGAUUCUGAGCAGUGUGGAAGGAGUUUUCGCUGAAGACCCCCAUGCCAGCUGCUUAAAAAUCCCAGACUGGCAGCACCGGGUCCCAGUAGCACGUUAUAUUUUGAAGAGUGGAGGUGAGACCCCCCCAUUCAUCCCCAGCUGGGGCCUAGUGCACAGCAGGUGUGAGUGAGUCCUUCGGAUGACCGCGCAACAUAGACAUGGGAUGCACAGGACACUGGCUGAAUAGAGGAAGCAGUGCACAGCUGACAGCUUUGGAGAAGUACGACUGAAGGCAGCCUGAAGAGUGACCUGUUAAGGGGGACAGCCUCGGAAAUCCAGGCAACUGGCAGCAGGUCAACAUGGCCUGUUAGCGUAAGGGAACCUGGAAACAUGGGAUUGAUUGGGAGCAUGGGGGUUGGUGCUGGAGAAGGACCAGGACUCUUGGUACCAUUGGACAGUCC